RNAcentral lists this ribosomal RNA (253 nucleotides) under uncultured bacterium. Its description in RNAcentral is "partial 16S ribosomal RNA". It matches the Rfam family "Bacterial small subunit ribosomal RNA", at positions 524 to 776 of the family's 1533-position model. The record is from RNAcentral.
UACGGGGGGGGCAAGCGUUGUUCGGAAUUACUGGGCGUAAAGGGCUCGUAGGCGGCCAACUAAGUCAGACGUGAAAUCCCUCGGCUUAACCGGGGAACUGCGUCUGAUACUGGAUGGCUUGAGGUUGGGAGAGGGAUGCGGAAUUCCAGGUGUAGCGGUGAAAUGCGUAGAUAUCGGGAGGAACACCAGUGGCGAAGGCGACUUCCUGGCCUGUUCUUGACGCUGAGGCGCGAAAGCUAGGGGAGCAAACGGG